GGAGGGAUCGCAUAGCCAGGUCUAGUGCGGCCGCCUGCUAAGCGGUUUGUCCUUUAAUCGGGACACAUGGGUUCGAAUCCCAUUCCCUCCGCCA
This 94-nucleotide transfer RNA is filed under the name Chloroflexota bacterium. Its description in RNAcentral is "Chloroflexi bacterium tRNA-Ser". It matches the Rfam family "tRNA". From Rfam's summary of the family: Transfer RNA (tRNA) molecules are approximately 80 nucleotides in length. Their secondary structure includes four short double-helical elements and three loops (D, anti-codon, and T loops). Further hydrogen bonds mediate the characteristic L-shaped molecular structure. tRNAs have two regions of fundamental functional importance: the anti-codon, which is responsible for specific mRNA codon recognition, and the 3' end, to which the tRNAs corresponding amino acid is attached (by aminoacyl-tRNA synthetases). tRNAs cope with the degeneracy of the genetic code in two manners: having more than one tRNA (with a specific anti-codon) for a particular amino acid; and 'wobble' base-pairing, i.e. permitting non-standard base-pairing at the 3rd anti-codon position. The record is from RNAcentral. Lineage: Bacteria; Bacillati; Chloroflexota. RNAcentral also lists the same sequence under 1 other name.